RNAcentral lists this transfer RNA (72 nucleotides) under Epicoccum nigrum. It matches the Rfam family "tRNA". Rfam says of the family: Transfer RNA (tRNA) molecules are approximately 80 nucleotides in length. Their secondary structure includes four short double-helical elements and three loops (D, anti-codon, and T loops). Further hydrogen bonds mediate the characteristic L-shaped molecular structure. tRNAs have two regions of fundamental functional importance: the anti-codon, which is responsible for specific mRNA codon recognition, and the 3' end, to which the tRNAs corresponding amino acid is attached (by aminoacyl-tRNA synthetases). tRNAs cope with the degeneracy of the genetic code in two manners: having more than one tRNA (with a specific anti-codon) for a particular amino acid; and 'wobble' base-pairing, i.e. permitting non-standard base-pairing at the 3rd anti-codon position. The record is from Rfam by way of RNAcentral. RNAcentral also lists the same sequence under 1 other name. Lineage: Eukaryota; Fungi; Ascomycota; Dothideomycetes; Pleosporales; Didymellaceae.
GGCACCAUGGCCUAAUGGUAAGGCGUUGCUUUCCGGUGGCAAAGACUGUGGGUUCGAGUCCCACUGGUGUCG